GACGAACGCUGGCGGCGUGCUUAACACAUGCAAGUCGAACGAAGUGGCGAACGGGUGAGUAACGCGUAAUCAACCUGCCCUUCAGAGGGGGACAACAGUUGGAAACGACAGCUAAUACCACAUACUGAAGGAGGGGAGUGCGUCGGAUUAGCUAGUUGGAGGGGUAACGGCCCACCAAGGCGAGGAUCAGUAGCCGGUCUGAGAUGAUGAACGGCCAAAUUGGGACUUAGACACGGCCCAGACUCCUACGGGAGGCAGCAGUGGGGAGUCUUCCGCAAUGGACGAAAGUCUUGCGGAGCAACGCCGCGUGAGUGAUGACGGCCUUCGGGUUGUAAAGCUCUGUUAAUCGGGACGCGGUACCGGAAUAGAAAGCCACGGCUAACUACGUGCCAGCAGCCGCGGUAAUAC
RNAcentral lists this ribosomal RNA (408 nucleotides) under uncultured bacterium. RNAcentral's name for it is "partial 16S ribosomal RNA". It matches the Rfam family "Bacterial small subunit ribosomal RNA", at positions 28 to 526 of the family's 1533-position model. The record is from RNAcentral.